Molecule: non-coding RNA, 98 nt
Organism: Acanthosepion pharaonis
Lineage: Eukaryota; Metazoa; Mollusca; Cephalopoda; Sepiida; Sepiidae
Source: the annotation of a GenBank genome assembly
GUUGAAACACUGGUUUUCGUUCGAUCACCGAAGUUAAACAACGUCGAGCCUGGUCAGAAACUAGAUGGGUGACCGCUUGAGAAUAUCAGUUACUGUAA